CGACUCUCGGCAACGGAUAUCUCGGCUCUCGCAUCGAUGAAGAACGUAGCGAAAUGCGAUACCUGGUGUGAAUUGCAGAAUCCCGCGAACCAUCGAGUCUUUGAACGCAAGUUGCGCCUGAGGCCACUCGGCCGAGGGCACGCCUGCCUGGGCGUCACGC
This 160-nucleotide ribosomal RNA is filed under the name Hordeum arizonicum. Its description in RNAcentral is "5.8S ribosomal RNA". It matches the Rfam family "5.8S ribosomal RNA". Rfam says of the family: 5.8S ribosomal RNA (5.8S rRNA) is a component of the large subunit of the eukaryotic ribosome. It is transcribed by RNA polymerase I as part of the 45S precursor that also contains 18S and 28S rRNA. Lineage: Eukaryota; Viridiplantae; Streptophyta; Magnoliopsida; Poales; Poaceae. The record is from RNAcentral.